RNAcentral lists this ribosomal RNA (463 nucleotides) under Vreelandella stevensii. Its description in RNAcentral is "partial 16S ribosomal RNA". It matches the Rfam family "Bacterial small subunit ribosomal RNA", at positions 339 to 795 of the family's 1533-position model. The record is from RNAcentral. Lineage: Bacteria; Pseudomonadati; Pseudomonadota; Gammaproteobacteria; Oceanospirillales; Halomonadaceae.
CUACGGGGGCAGCAGUGGGGAAUAUUGGACAAUGGGCGAAAGCCUGAUCCAGCCAUGCCGCGUGUGUGAAGAAGGCCUUCGGGUUGUAAAGCACUUUCAGUGGGGAAGAAAGCCUUGGGGCUAAUACCCUCGAGGAAGGACAUCACCCACAGAAGAAGCACCGGCUAACUCCGUGCCAGCAGCCGCGGUAAUACGGAGGGUGCGAGCGUUAAUCGGAAUUACUGGGCGUAAAGCGCGCGUAGGCGGUCUGAUAAGCCGGUUGUGAAAGCCCCGGGCUCAACCUGGGAACGGCAUCCGGAACUGUCAGGCUAGAGUGCAGGAGAGGAAGGUAGAAUUCCCGGUGUAGCGGUGAAAUGCGUAGAGAUCGGGAGGAAUACCAGUGGCGAAGGCGGCCUUCUGGACUGACACUGACGCUGAGGUGCGAAAGCGUGGGUAGCAAACAGGAUUAGAUACCCGGGUAGUC